AGUGAACGCUGGCGGUAGGCCUAACACAUGCAAGUCGAACGGCAGCACAGUAAGAGCUUGCUCUUACGGGUGGCGAGUGGCGGACGGGUGAGGAAUACAUCGGAAUCUACUUUUUCGUGGGGGAUAACGUAGGGAAACUUACGCUAAUACCGCAUACGACCUACGGGUGAAAGCAGGGGAUCUUCGGACCUUGCGCGAUUGACUGAGCCGAUGUCGGAUUAGCUAGUUGGCGGGGUAAAGGCCCACCAAGGCGACGAUCCGUAGCUGGUCUGAGAGGAUGAUCAGACACACUGGAACUGAGACACGGUCCAGACUCCUACGGGAGGCAGCAGUGGGGAAUAUUGGACAAUGGGCGCAAGCCUGAUCCAGCCAUACCGCGUGGGUGAAGAAGGCCUUCGGGUUGUAAAGCCCUUUUGUUGGGAAAGAAAAGCAGCAGGUUAAUACCCCGCUGUUCUGACGGUACCCAAAGAAUAAGCACCGGCUAACUUCGUG
Molecule: ribosomal RNA, 492 nt
Filed under: uncultured bacterium
Lineage: Bacteria
Description: partial 16S ribosomal RNA
Rfam family: Bacterial small subunit ribosomal RNA
Source: RNAcentral